ACAGAGGGGGCGAGCGUUGUUCGGAAUUACUGGGCGUAAAGGGCGCGUAGGCGGCCUAUUAAGUCAGUUCUGAAAUCUCCGGGCUUAACCCGGAAAGGUCAGCCGAUACUGCGGGGCUAGAGUGCAGAAGGGGCAACUGGAAUUCUCGGUGUAGCGGUGAAAUGCGUAGAUAUCGAGAGGAACACCUGCGGCGAAGGCGGGUUGCUGGGCUGACACUGACGCUGAUGCGCGAAAGCUAGGGGAGCGAACGGGA
Molecule: ribosomal RNA, 253 nt
Filed under: uncultured prokaryote
Description: partial 16S ribosomal RNA
Rfam family: Bacterial small subunit ribosomal RNA
Source: RNAcentral